AACGCACGAGACCUGCGGACCUGCGGAAGGAUCAUUAAUGUUGUCUUGUCCACUUGUAAGUCAACUUUGGAAGGGUUUUACCCUUUCACAAGUUGGCUUGCAAGCUCCCGUGCUUAUCAUAAAGUCCAUAACCAUUUUUUUUUAUUGCUGCAGUGACUUUAACGAGUCUUGCACGCAUAAAAAAAAUCGACAUUGACAAGCAUUGACCUUACUUUGUAUCGUUGAUAUUGCCAGUGUCAC
This 240-nucleotide unclassified non-coding RNA is filed under the name soil metagenome. RNAcentral describes it as "partial contains 5.8S ribosomal RNA, internal transcribed spacer 2, and large subunit ribosomal RNA". The record is from RNAcentral.